Molecule: non-coding RNA, 31 nt
Filed under: Homo sapiens (human)
Lineage: Eukaryota; Metazoa; Chordata; Mammalia; Primates; Hominidae
Source: RNAcentral
UNGCACUGUUAGACUUCAAAGCCUCUUAACC